AGGAACCCAGGCAGUAGCAUCGUUUCACAAUGUUUCCAUCACCAUCAUCAGUGGAUGCCUUUGCCGUCCGUAGCCUGAGAUUUCAGAUUUGCAGCAAAAAAAUUGAUUUUCUCAUUUAUUGGAAUGCUGUGCAGGUUGUACCUUGCAGCCAUCCAUUACAAUGUCACCAAGCCGUAACAAAAGCAGGAGAGGGAAAGUACAAGGCUAUGUUCCCAAAACACACAAGUGACAUACCUUAUGUGGAUGAUGUGAUCAGGCUUGUGUUUGUUGAGGUAUUUGAAGAUGAGCUGAAGGAAACCCCGAUUCCAAUGGACCUGGCAUCACAGUUUGAGAGACCUUCAAAGGAGGACGUGAUUGCAUG
This is a long non-coding RNA of Paramisgurnus dabryanus, 361 nucleotides long. RefSeq lists it as uncharacterized. The record is from RefSeq and is a predicted model, not a curated record. NCBI's taxonomy places the organism in Eukaryota, Metazoa, Chordata, Actinopteri, Cypriniformes, Cobitidae.